GAUGAACGCUGGCGGCGUGCCUAAUACAUGCAAGUCGAGCGAACAGACGAGGAGCUUUCUCCUCUGACGUGAGCGGCGGCCGGGUGAGUAACACGUGGAUAACCUACCUAUAAGACUGGGAUAACUUCGGGAAACCGGAGCUAAUACCGGAUAAUAUAUUGAUAAGCAUGGUUCAAUAGUGAAAGACGGUUUUGCUGCUACUUAUAGAUGGAUCCGCGCCGCAUUAGCUAGUUGGUUAGGUAACGGCUUACCAAGGCGACGAUGCGUAGCCGACCUGAGAGGGUGGACGGCCAGACGGGAAGUGAGAAAGGGCGCAGACUCCGAAGGGGGGAAGCAGUAGGGAAUCUUCCGCAAGGGACGAAAGCCUAACGGAGCAACGCGGCGGAAGUGAUGAAGGUCCUCGGAUCGGAAAGCUCUGUUAUUAGGGAGGAACAAAUGUGUAAGUAACUAUGCACGUCUUGACGGUACCUAAUCAGAAAGCCACGGCUAACUACGUG
RNAcentral lists this ribosomal RNA (497 nucleotides) under uncultured bacterium. Its description in RNAcentral is "partial 16S ribosomal RNA". It matches the Rfam family "Bacterial small subunit ribosomal RNA", at positions 28 to 507 of the family's 1533-position model. The record is from RNAcentral.